GAUGAACGCUGACAGAAUGCUUAACACAUGCAAGUCAACUUGAACUUCGGUUUGAGUGGCGGACGGGUGAGUAACGCGUAAAGAACUUGCCCCACAGAUAGGGACAACAUUUGGAAACGAAUGCUAAUACCUGAUAUUAUGAUUUUAGGGCAUCCUAGGAUUAUGAAAGCUAUAUGCGCUGUGAGAGAGCUUUGCGUCCCAUUAGCUAGUUGGAGAGGUAACGGCUCACCAAGGCGAUGAUGGGUAGCCGGCCUGAGAGGGUGAUCGGCCACAAGGGGACUGAGACACGGCCCUUACUCCUACGGGAGGCAGCAGUGGGGAAUAUUGGACAAUGGACCAAGAGUCUGAUCCAGCAAUUCUGUGUGCACGAUGAAGUUUUUCGGAAUGUAAAGUGCUUUCAGUUGGGAAGAAAAAAAUGACGGUACCAGCAGAAGAAGUGACGGCUAAAUACGUG
Molecule: ribosomal RNA, 454 nt
Filed under: uncultured bacterium
Lineage: Bacteria
Description: partial 16S ribosomal RNA
Rfam family: Bacterial small subunit ribosomal RNA
Source: RNAcentral